Molecule: transfer RNA, 70 nt
Filed under: Okamejei acutispina (sharpspine skate)
Lineage: Eukaryota; Metazoa; Chordata; Chondrichthyes; Rajiformes; Rajidae
Description: tRNA-Tyr
Rfam family: tRNA
About the family: Transfer RNA (tRNA) molecules are approximately 80 nucleotides in length.
Source: RNAcentral
GGUAAGGUGGCUGAGAGCUAAGCGGCGGCCUGUAGUUCCGUGAAGGGAGGUUCAAGUCCUCUCCUUACCA